Molecule: ribosomal RNA, 468 nt
Filed under: uncultured bacterium
Lineage: Bacteria
Description: partial 16S ribosomal RNA
Rfam family: Bacterial small subunit ribosomal RNA
Source: RNAcentral
GACGAACGCUGGCGGCGUGCUUAACACAUGCAAGUCGAACGGAAAGGCCCUGCUUUUGUGGUGUGCUCGAGUGGCGAACGGGUGAGUAACACGUGAGUAACCUGCCCUUGACUUUGGGAUAACUUCAGGAAACUGGGGCUAAUACCGGAUAGGAGCUCCUCCUCCAUGGUUGGGGUUGGCAAGUUUCGGCGGUGGGGGAUGGGCUCGCGGCUUAUCAGCUUGUUGGUGGGGUAGUGGCUUACCAAGGCUUUGACGGGUAGCCGGCCUGAGAGGGGGACCGGCCACAGUGGGACUGAGAUACGGCCCAGAGUCCUACGGGAGGCAGCAGUGGGGAUUAUUGCACAAUGCGCGGAAGCCUGAUGCAGCAACGCCGCGUGCGGGAUGACGGCCUUCGGGUUGUAAACCGCUUUCGCCUGUGACGAAGCGUGAGUGACGGUAAUGGGUAAAGAAGCACCGGCUAACUACGUG